CCUACGGGUGGCAGCAGUGGGGAAUAUUGCACAAUGGGGGAAACCCUGAUGCAGCGACGCCGCGUGAGUGAAGAAGUAUUUCGGUAUGUAAAGCUCUAUCAGCAGGGAAGAAAAGGACGGUACCUGACGAAGAAGCCCCGGCUAACUACGUGCCAGCAGCCGCGGUAAUACGUAGGGGGCAAGCGUUAUCCGGAUUUACUGGGGGUAACGGGAGCGUAGACGGCGGAACUCGUAAGAAGGGAAAACCCGGGGCUCAACCCUGGGAGUGCUUUUGAAACUGUUUGGCUGGAGUGCAGGAGAGGUAAGCGGAAUUCCUCGUGUAGCGGUGACAUGCGUAGAUAUUAGGAGGAACCCCCGUGGCGAAGGCGGCUUACUGGACUGUAACUGACGUUGAGGCUCGAAAGCGUGGGUAGCAAACAGGAUUAGAUACCCCUGUAGUC
Molecule: ribosomal RNA, 440 nt
Filed under: uncultured bacterium
Lineage: Bacteria
Description: partial 16S ribosomal RNA
Rfam family: Bacterial small subunit ribosomal RNA
Source: RNAcentral